RNAcentral lists this small nucleolar RNA (196 nucleotides) under Mus spretus (western wild mouse). Its description in RNAcentral is "small nucleolar RNA, H/ACA box 74A (ENSMSPG00010022612.1)". It matches the Rfam family "Small nucleolar RNA SNORA74". Rfam says of the family: U19 belongs to the H/ACA class of snoRNAs. snoRNAs bind a number of proteins (including dyskerin, Gar1p and Nop10p in the case of the H/ACA class) to form snoRNP complexes. This class are thought to guide the sites of modification of uridines to pseudouridines by forming direct base pairing interactions with substrate RNAs. Lineage: Eukaryota; Metazoa; Chordata; Mammalia; Rodentia; Muridae. The record is from RNAcentral.
UCCAGCAGUUGUCAGCUAUCCAGGCUGUGUGGUGCCCGAGAUCGUGUUACACUGUUGGCAGAGUAAACACUGCCUUACUAAGGGUUGGCUCCCAGCACUGUUUUGGUGUCUGGUGCUGAGUACUUUCAGGCAGUAUUGCAUCCCUGAGAGUGGAAUGACUCCUUGUGGAGUUGGUCCUGGUCUGGGUGCAAACAAU